UUUUUUCCAUUAAUGAUGCAUAAAAUUUUAACGCGUAUCAAAAAAUCAGAUCCAAAAGCUCUUGCAUGGUAGUACAUUACAGGCAAGAGUGAGAGUGUGCCCAAUGAAAAGAUGUUUGCAUUUUCUUUGUUUGGUUCCUGUUUGUUCUUGGAAUUAAUUUCCCAAAUUAGACCCACCAUUGAACCCCUUCACACGCUCAAUUUCUCUCUCUAUAUCUCUACCAUCCUCUUCUCUCUCCUAUCUUCUUCAUCCCCCAUUUCUCAAUAACAGGGGUCAAGAUUAACCAUAAGAGAUAAACACAAUUUAUGACCCGAUUUAAAUUCCCAUACCCGACCCGUUUCCCUGCAUAAUUAAUCACCCGGACUCCAAUUUGGUGAUGCCCUAGUUCUUCUGGGCAUCAUCAUCAAAACAGUUCCCUUGUUUUCUUUAAUUUCUUGAAGAAAUCAACAUUUUGGUGGGCCCCAUUUAGUUGAUUUUUCAAGAUCAGACUCAUUGCAAUUUUCCGAACCCUAAUUCGUUAUGUUAUGCCCACUUGUUUAAAGCUCAUACCUUUUGUUGAAGUUGGAGAAAUUUUUGCUUAAUUGGAGACCGACCCAGAUAUUAGAAGGCUUUUGGGGGUCUUAUUUUUAAAUUUUCUUGAAUUCUUGAUUUGGAUUAAAAAGAAGGGUUUCAAAUGAAGCUAAACGGAUAUUAAGAAUUCAUAUAGUUGAUUUGAUCCUUAAUUAGCUUUAAAUUGAGGUUUAGUGAUUGAUUUGCAGAUGUAUGGAUCCAUCAUUGUUGAUCUUAACUCUGAGUAUUUGCUUUUGUUUCCUUGCUAUUUCCGUACAAUCUCAGCAAAAUGUGAGUCCUUUAUCACCACCAGCACCAUCACCAUCACCGAGGUCUCCUCCGCCACGUCAGCAUCAUCACCAUCAUCCACCACCUCAUCCGCCACCUCCAAAACCUUUGCAUUCUGCUCCGAAAACGACAACUUCGGAUAGUAAACACUCGAACCACGAUAAAAAUAACGAUAAAAAGCACCAUAAAUUGAAAAAGAAGCCAAAUUGGAGGAAGAAACUAGGAUUUAUGUUUGUGGGUGUUGCUGGGAUGUUGCAGGUGUGUGUGCUGGUGUUCUUGCUAAUCAAGAGAAGGCAAUUGUUAAAGGCUGAAAGGAACAUUUGAAUAUAUAUAUAUAUCAGCUCCCAUUUGUUUUAGUAAAUCUCUUUUGAUGAUGGAGCAUGUUAAUAGCAGUUAGUCUAAUUUAUUCAGAUUUUUAAGUGAUCGGUUGAUAAUGAGCUCGGCAUUGAUGAAUUAGAAGGAUUAAGGAUUCAGCUGAAUUGUUGAUUUCUGCAUUUGCGUUGGUCGCUACUGUAAAUUUGGUCUCAAAAGGAAAGUUUUCAGAUGAUAUCUUGCCUUUGUCAAUUAUAAGGAACUGUAUUGGAUUUGUUUUGGAGAACGUAGUGUUACAUCUUCUCUGUCCGGUGAGAAACGAAUGCUGUAGGGAACUAGCAUACUGUUGAUGGAGGCAUUACCUGUCAUCGUCGAAGCUGAAAUAUGAUUUCUAAUGUAGAGGUUAAACCCUAUAAAACUAUUUAACUGUUGGUAUAUUCUAACUGUUGAAUCUGAUAUGAAAACUUAUACACUGGCAAAGUAAUAUGUAUAUCUAUUUUAUUCUUGAAUAAUGUUGCUUUAUUGAGUUAUAA
Lycium ferocissimum is the source of this 1682-nucleotide long non-coding RNA. RefSeq lists it as uncharacterized. The transcript has 2 exons. The record is from RefSeq and is a predicted model, not a curated record. Lineage: Eukaryota; Viridiplantae; Streptophyta; Magnoliopsida; Solanales; Solanaceae.